Molecule: ribosomal RNA, 900 nt
Filed under: uncultured archaeon
Lineage: Archaea
Description: bacterial SSU rRNA
Rfam family: Archaeal small subunit ribosomal RNA
Source: RNAcentral
CGGUUGAUCCUGCCGGACCCUACCGCUAUCGGGGUGGGACUAAAACAUGCGAGUCGAGCGUCUCCCAAGCUGUUGUGGAGGCGCGGCGCACAGCUCAGUAACACGUGGCCAACCUGCCCUUGGGAAAGGAAUACCCUCGGGAAACCGGGGGUGAUUCCUUAUAGGACAAGAGCGCUGGAAUGCCUCUUGUCCGAAAAGGCGUUAGAGGCAUGCUCUCUAACGCCGCCCAAGGAUGGGGCCGCGUCCGAUCAGGUUGUUGGUGAGGUAACGGCUCACCAAGCCUAUAACCGGUACGGGCCGUGAGAGCGGGAGCCCGGAGAUGGGCACUGAGAUAAGGGCCCAGGCCCUACGGGGCGCAGCAGUUGCGAAAACUCGCCAACGCACGAAAGUGUGAGCGGGCUACCCCGAGUGCCGUCCGCUGAGGAUGGCUUUUCUCCGCUGUAAGGAGGCGGAGGAAUAAGGAGAGGGCAAGACUGGUGUCAGCCGCCGCGGUAAUACCAGCUCUCCGAGUGGUAGGGGUGAUUAUUGGGCUUAAAGCGUCCGUAGCCGGCCUAGCAAGUCUUUCGUUAAAUCCAGCAACCUAAUUGUUGGGCUGCGGAGGAUACUGUUAGGCUAGGGGGCGGGAGAGGUCGACGGUAUUCUCGGGGUAGGGGUGAAAUCUUAUAAUCCCGGGAGGACCACCAGUGGCGAAGGCUGUCGGCUAGCACGCGCCCGACGGUGAGGGACGAAAGCUGGGGGAGCGAACCGGAUUAGAUACCCGGGUAGUCCCAGCUGUAAACGAUGCGGGCUAGGUGUUGGGGCGGCUACGAGCCGCUCCAGUGCCGCAGCGAAGGCGUUAAGCCCGCCGCCUGGGGAGUACGGCCGCAAGGCUGAAACUUAAAGGAAUUGGCGGGGGAGCAC